RNAcentral lists this ribosomal RNA (876 nucleotides) under uncultured Verrucomicrobiae bacterium. RNAcentral's name for it is "bacterial SSU rRNA". It matches the Rfam family "Bacterial small subunit ribosomal RNA", at positions 58 to 928 of the family's 1533-position model. The record is from RNAcentral. Lineage: Bacteria; Pseudomonadati; Verrucomicrobiota; Verrucomicrobiia.
CAAGUCGAACGAGCUCAGUUUUGUAGCAAUACAGAGCUGAGCUAGUGGCGAACGGGUGCGUAACACGUGAGCAAUCUGCCUUAAAGUGGGGGAUAGCUCGCCGAAAGGCGAAUUAAUACCGCAUGUGGUUGUAAAACCAAAGCUGGGGCAACCUGGCGCUUUUAGAGGAGCUCGCGGCCUAUCAGCUUGUUGGUGAGGUAACGGCUCACCAAGGCUUCGACGGGUAGCUGGUCUGAGAGGACGACCAGCCACACUGGAACUGAGACACGGUCCAGACACCUACGGGUGGCAGCAGUCGUGAAUUUUUCUCAAUGGGGGAAACCCUGAAGGAGCGACGCCGCGUGGAGGAUGAAUGCUUUCGGGUUGUAAACUCCUGUCAUUUGGGAACAAAGCCUUACGUUAACUGCGUGGAGGUCUGAUAGUACCAGAAGAGGAAGAGACGGCUAACUCUGUGCCAGCAGCCGCGGUAAUACAGAGGUCUCAAGCGUUGUUCGGAUUCAUUGGGCGUAAAGGGCGCGUAGGCGGCGAGGUAAGUCGGGUGUGAAAUCUCAGAGCUCAACUCUGAAACUGCACUCGAUACUGCUUUGCUAGAGGACUGGAGAGGAGAUUGGAAUUCACGGUGUAGCAGUGAAAUGCGUAGAGAUCGUGAGGAAGACCAGUGGCGAAGGCGGAUCUCUGGACAGUUCCUGACGCUGAGGCGCGAAGGCCAGGGGAGCAAACGGGAUUAGAUACCCCGGUAGUCCUGGCAGUAAACGGUGCACGUUUGGUGUGCGCGGAUUCGACCCCGUGCGUGCCGGAGCUAACGCGUUAAACGUGCCGCCUGAGGAGUACGGUCGCAAGAUUAAAACUCAAAGAAAUUGACGGGGGCCCGCACAA